AUCAGUGUCUUUGAAAUAUUGAUACAUCUUUUACCUUUUGCAAAAUUAAGGAUAGGGGCUAGGAAUAUACUUGUUCUGCCCAACUCAACAGAUACUGUGAGGUUUAAACUAGAUUAUAUAGCACCUCAUUGCAUAAACAAUAAAUGGUAGCUGGCCAGUCAGUAUCUUAGUACAAUCUUCCCAUUUAGAAACUAAUUCUUAGCUGCUGCAGUACUAGGAAUGUGUAAUUCAUCCAGAGUUACACUGGUCUGGGUGACUGCCAUACUCCCGAGACCCACAGUGGCUUGUGGACAGGAAAUAGAAGGUCCACGCAGUCAACUGUGCUGGGAGUGAUGACUUAGUUUUAAGAUUUACCUUGGCCAUUUCAACUAAUCAUUUAAUCUUUCUGGGCCUCAGUUCCUUGUGUGUGUGUAUGCUAAGUCGUUUCAGUUGUGUCCAACUCUUUGUGACCCUAUGGACUGUAGCCCACCAGGCUCCUCUGUCCACAGGAUUCUCCAGGCAAGAAUACUGGAGUGGGUUGCUGUGCCCUUCUCAAGAAUAGAAGAAUGGACCAAAAUCUCAGAGGUAUCCCUCAGCCAACCUUCUCCGGGGGCCGGCAGCCACCUCAGGAGAAAGCCAUCUCGAAACUCUCGCAAGGUUUACCUCUUUAGCAGGCGAAUGCCCAUACGAACCAAACAUUCUAAGGAAAUUCAUCAUAACCCCUGGAUGAAAAGGUAACAGAAAAGUGACGGUGUCUGGUACCGGCUUCUCCUGUAUCAGUUCCAGAGACCCCUACAUCCUCCCAUUGUGUGAGAAAAAUAGGAAAAGUCUUUGGAAUGAAAACUUAGCAACGUUAAUAGAGCUAUUGAACUGAAUACAACCUACCACCUAGAGGUAACAAAGCUAUCGUGAAAACUGUCUUAAUGUUUUAAAAUUAUUUGAGUGGUGAAGUUGUAACCUAUGAACUACUCUUAAUUAGUUAAUUAAAUCCUGUGGACCUCAGGUAACUCAAUAAGCUGCCCAAGUCUGUAGUCUGCUUCUGGAAGCACUUUGGAUAGUGGUAAACUUGUUUAAUUGGGAUAGCCACCGCCAGGACCAGCCAAGGCAGAACUAUUGAGGACUUUGUCCAGUGAGUUUCAUGUGUGCCCAAGUGGCAUUCUGAGUGCACUCAAACCUGUUGUUCGUCUCAGUCUUGCCUUCCUCUGCAUUUAUCUGUAUCCUUGGAGUCAGUUCACAUUGCUCUGUGCUGCCUUUCUGGCUACUCAUUCUUGGUUGACAGCACUCAAACAUUUUCAUCAGGUUCCAAGAACCCCCAUUUUACUACUUAAACAGAGACAUAGACGAAAACCCAACUCCUUUAUAUCUUUAUCUUCACAGGUUGUUUCAGUUGGGUUCUCUGGGAAGCAGAUGCUAAAAUGGAGUUAGAAAUGCAAGGCGUUUAUUGGAGAUAACACCUGCAAAAGAUAAAAGGCAGGCAAUAGGAUUGGAAAGGAAAGACUCAGACCACAGUGCAUAUCUGAUGGGGUCUCAGUCAAUCUGGUGGGGAGCUAGAGAACAAAGGCUGGUGAUUGGAAGGGUUCUGCAUUGGAAAGACUGGCAUGCCCCAGUAUCUCUGCCAUGCUUGGUCAUUGGCUGGGGCUCUCCAGAAAAAAAGAGGCCACCACUCAAAAGCUGAGGCAGACUCCUCAUGUGUUAACAGCUGUGGACUGACCAUGCUUGUGGGAGAACAUCAAGGUCUUUCUUGAAGGGAAAUCAGAGGGAAGCAACUCUAGUACUGCUUCAUCAAUUGAAUUUCUCUACUGUCUCACCUCUGUAAUCUUAAACUCUAUAUGCUACCUGUUCACUAUAACACCCUAUCUUUCCACUGUUCAUCCCCUUAGUCUCGUUAUAUCUGUUCUUUGCUUUUGUGUGAAACUUUCACUCCCCUACUCCCUCCACCUUCUCUAAACAUUUCACCCUCUCUUGACAUCACUGCUUUCUCCAGGUAGGCUAGACCCAGUUCCUCAUCACUUCAUCCAUUCUCCAGCCAAUAUCCUUAAAUUCUCUGCCCCCUUUUCUCUUAGUGCCCACAAUGCAAAACCAUGUUUAUCCAUCUGCCUUCUUUAUUCCUAUACUUAAGCUGAUGGCCACAGCUAAAGAAAAUCAUACAAUAAUACAGAUUAAUGUCACAUAGUUUCUAGUCUUGGCUGAACCCUAAACACUGUACAGAAAUCCUAUAAUUAGAUUCUUCCUUCUCAUAUGGCACCUGAAGGAAAAAUCUUAUAAUUUUUGUUUUGCAACAUGUUAGCAAACAUAAUGGGGAAAAGUUCUUUAGGGUAGAUCUGAAUUCUACCUUUACAGCUUGUGUGAACUUAUUUAACUCCUUCGGGUCUUUUCCCCUCCGUCUUUAAAAUGGAGCUAUUAUUAGCUGCUGAUGACAUUGUUUACAGGAUUACAUAAAAUAUUUAACCAGUUUAGUGAAAAUUCUCAAAUCAUUAAGAAUACAGACCCUAAGGUUUUUCCCCCACUAACUGACCAACUGUACUCUACUGAAAACCCCUCUUUCCACUAAGGACACCCCAAUCCAAUUUCAUAACAUUUGGACAUUUUAAGUUAUUAAACCAGUCCUCUUCUCCAUUGGUGUAGCUUAGGUAGGAAACUGUGUGUGCCUUUAAUGAAGGCAUGAUCAGCUUUCUUGAACUCCACAAUUUCCUCCUUCCACUUAACAUUUGGUGUCUGAAAAGGAAGACAGAGAGAGAAUUUGUUUCUUCAUACACUGUCAAGGUUGCUGUCCCACUUUCAUUGUAAAUGACCUUGAAUCUUUUCUAUAGGCUCAGGAUGACCAGGUAGUGACUGUAAUAAUUUCCACCGACAAAGAGGUCAGUUAUAAGCAGUUCAAGUAAACAUUGAUGGUCCCUGGGAGACUAAACUUUAUCUUUUGGCUUAAUUUAAUCCUUUCCAGUUCACCUCCCACCCAAAGGACCACUCCAUUAUUCAAGUGAUCUACAUCUUACCUACUUUCUCAUUAGCCAUCACAACCCAACUCUGGAGCCAAAGGUAUAGGUAAGAUUCAUUUUCUGUUGUUGUUCAGUUGC
This 3053-nucleotide long non-coding RNA is filed under the name Cervus hanglu yarkandensis (Yarkand deer). RNAcentral's name for it is "lncRNA (ENSCHYG00000020391.1)". Lineage: Eukaryota; Metazoa; Chordata; Mammalia; Artiodactyla; Cervidae. The record is from RNAcentral.